Molecule: transfer RNA, 59 nt
Filed under: Loxodonta africana (African savanna elephant)
Lineage: Eukaryota; Metazoa; Chordata; Mammalia; Proboscidea; Elephantidae
Rfam family: tRNA
About the family: Transfer RNA (tRNA) molecules are approximately 80 nucleotides in length. Their secondary structure includes four short double-helical elements and three loops (D, anti-codon, and T loops).
Source: Rfam by way of RNAcentral
AUGGCACAGUGGUUACGUAUUUGGCUGUUAACCAAAAGGUUGGUGGUUCAAACCCACCU